GGAAACCUGGAAUUAAAAAAAAAGGAGUGAAAUUAACUGAAACAAGAGUCACUGAUCUAAAUGAAACAUUAUGCUUCACUGAAUACUAUAAAACGGACCUUUUCUAAAGCCUUUAAAUAAUAUUUGUGUCAAGUCUAAAAAAUAAAAUAUAGGUUUUGAAAUAGAUACCGAUGCUCUUCAGGAGCCACUGGUGGUGUAAUCACGAGCCUGCUUCUCUCCCCUCUAUGAAUAGUAAACGGUGGAAAACAGUCCAACCCAUGCAGGGUCGUCAUCAGCUUUCUUGCAAAACAGAAACCCAGGGCCCUAUUUUCACUGAAAAUGAACUUCUUUUUUCAGUUUAUAGUUGCCCGAAGUAUUUAAAAAUAGGAAACUGCAUCAUAAAACAGUAAAGAAUAAUUCUGUGUUCCCCUGGACUUUGAAGAGGGCACAAGCAUCUCUAUCUGCUGGCUGUCAUGACUGCUCAGCCCCUAUUUCCUACUCAUUUUUCACAUCAUCUCACCUCGAAUUUCUCACAUUUCCCACUUAGCCAGACGUCUUGCUGCUCAGUGGCUUCAUACCUCUCAUAGCGUGAGGCCGUGGUGGCCGUCCGGGGCUGGCAGGCUGACACACGAGUGCCAGAUACUUCCCUACUGCUCUGGAGGCCAGUCCGCUGGAGGUGGAAUCCACUUGUUUGUCGUGAGUAUCCUGCAUGUUUCCCCGAAAAGAAAACCAAGAUAAAUGGUCACCCUGGUUGUGCUUCAGCCGUGGAGAAUAAGGACCAAGCCUUUCCACUCUUGAGGGCAUGGACCCCUGGGGGCAUAUGGAUGGGUUUCUGGGAGAUCACCAACCUCCUAAAAUAGCAUAAUACCACGAGUGACUGGUCCACAGCUUUCGUCAGAUUCUUGGAGAGGAUAACUGCGAUUAAGGGAAAGCUUUUGAAACUUAGGGAAAAGAUGCUAAACAUAUUUAUGGCAGAAACCUAUAUUUCAUCUUUGACUCGCCAACAGCCAGGCACCGAACUUGACGGACAGUAAGGGCUACAAGAUGUGUGUUGAAUGGAUUCAUGAAUGAGACCAAAAUCAAGAACACUCCAGACAAGGCCUGGUUGACCCUCCUGUGCUGUUCCUUGGAUUUCAGUGAGUGUCCUGUCACUGCAUGUCAACGUCCUGGACUUGGGCUGGGAGUCUCUGGGUGACUUCAGCUCUUGUUUGAUUAUUCAGACCACCGGGCCGUGUGCCAGGAGCUCACGACCGCCGGCUUCUGCUGUUGAAGAGGUGACCCCUGGCUCUCACUAACAGCUUCCAGCACAGCUGAGCAGUUAAACCUCUGGCUGUGUCUAUAUUAUGUAGCCAGAUUAUCCUGACAUACAAGGUCCUGCAUGCCUGACUCUCGUUUUACAGUCACGUCUGCUUGUCUUGACUGUUGAACACGUGGUCCCAUUUGUGCUGUGCAAUACCCUGUUAGCAAUUUGAAAUGUGAUUUAGCAAGAGGUGAUAAAAUCUUCCUUAAAAGCUGUUCUUGAGUCUCUUCUUGGAAAUACUGAAUUUAGAUA
This is a non-coding RNA of Vicugna pacos (alpaca), 1531 nucleotides long. The record is from RefSeq and is a predicted model, not a curated record. NCBI's taxonomy places the organism in Eukaryota, Metazoa, Chordata, Mammalia, Artiodactyla, Camelidae.